UGAAUACAGCUAUUAUUGAAUGCCAGCUGCUACUCAUUUUUGUUCCAGGUUUCCUGCAGAAAUUUGAAAAAGUUCUGCUUUAGGCAUGAAAGCCAGCUGGAUGUCUUUGGUGCAGUCAAUCUCUCUCAGUCUAUAGGGUUGUUGUGAAAAAAAUAGGAGAAGGAAGGAAUAUUAGGUAGUUCUUGACUGAUGAGCACAACUGGGACUGAAAUUUUGGUUGCUAAGACAUGCAGUUGCGUAAAGAUACUCAUUGAUGACAAUGGGCUAAGAAACAGCAGCUAGAAAAGUCACUUUUGCCUGCAAAUCAG
Molecule: non-coding RNA, 308 nt
Organism: Pantherophis guttatus
Lineage: Eukaryota; Metazoa; Chordata; Lepidosauria; Squamata; Colubridae
Source: RefSeq, a predicted model, not a curated record